This 484-nucleotide ribosomal RNA is filed under the name uncultured bacterium. RNAcentral's name for it is "partial 16S ribosomal RNA". It matches the Rfam family "Bacterial small subunit ribosomal RNA", at positions 30 to 507 of the family's 1533-position model. The record is from RNAcentral.
AUUGAACGCUGGCGGCAGGCCUAACACAUGCAAGUCGAGCGGAUGAAGGGAGCUUGCUCCUGGAUUCAGCGGCGGACGGGUGAGUAAUGCCUAGGAAUCUGCCUGGUAGUGGGGGAUAACGUCCGGAAACGGGCGCUAAUACCGCAUACGUCCUGAGGGAGAAAGUGGGGGAUCUUCGGACCUCACGCUAUCAGAUGAGCCUAGGUCGGAUUAGCUAGUUGGUGGGGUAAAGGCCUACCAAGGCGACGAUCCGUAACUGGUCUGAGAGGAUGAUCAGUCACACUGGAACUGAGACACGGUCCAGACUCCUACGGGAGGCAGCAGUGGGGAAUAUUGGACAAUGGGCGAAAGCCUGAACCAGCCAUGCCGCGUGUGUGAAGAAGGUCUUCGGAUUGUAAAGCACUUUAAGUUGGGAGGAAGGGCAGUAAGUUAAUACCUUGCUGUCUUGACGUUACCAACAGAAUAAGCACCGGCUAACUUCGUG